AACGAACGCUGGCGGCAUGCCUAACACAUGCAAGUCGAACGAGACCUUCGGGUCUAGUGGCGCACGGGUGCGUAACGCGUGGGAACCUGCCCUUAGGUUCGGAAUAACUCCCCGAAAGGGGUGCUAAUACCGGAUAAUGUCUUCGGACCAAAGAUUUAUCGCCUUUGGAUGGGCCCGCGUUGGAUUAGCUAGUUGGUAGGGUAAAAGCCUACCAAGGCGACGAUCCAUAGCUGGUCUGAGAGGAUGAUCAGCCACACUGGGACUGAGACACGGCCCAGACUCCUACGCGAGGCAGGAGUGGGUAAUAGAGGACAAUGGGCGGAAGGCUGAACCAGCAAUGCCGCGUGAGUGAUGAAGGCCUUAGGGAUGUAAAGCGCUUUUACCCGGGAUGAUAAUGACAGUACCGGGAGAAUAAGCUCCGGCUAACUCCGUG
Molecule: ribosomal RNA, 433 nt
Filed under: uncultured bacterium
Lineage: Bacteria
Description: partial 16S ribosomal RNA
Rfam family: Bacterial small subunit ribosomal RNA
Source: RNAcentral